AGCCAAUUUGUACUUUCCAAACCCUUUUUAGCAAUAGUUCCCUUAGAAAGUCAUCUUUUGUCCGGUGUAAAAGCUCUGCUACCUUCUCCAGAUGCUAUAGUAUUGAUUCCCUCAUGUAAACUUGUUUACCACUUAUCCCUUUCAAUACACAAACCUCUGUAAUCACAAAGAGAAGAAACUGCAACAAGUUCACCCUUGCCCGACAAGGUGAAAUCUUGCCUGACUCUCUUUGUUUUAUCUUUCAAUUAGUAGAUCUGAUGUACUCUCCAGUAUAUAUUCAAGUUAUUUCUAGUCAUUUGAUGAUCAAAGUUUCCAUUGGCACUCAGAUCUGGUUCAUUUGAUAGUUCUACUGCUAUAAAAGAUUGAACGGGAACUAGACCAAGGGCUUAGUCAGAUCUGGACUUCUAACCUUUGAAGCAUACAAGAUAAUAAUAAAAGUCCUUGAUCUCAAGGCACAGAAAAGAACUUAAUGUAGACUUAACCCAUCUACAACAAUCAUUUGAUAACAAGAAGUCAGAAUACCUUGGGGCACAAGUAAUCGACUUAAACACACUUGUUCUACAUCUGCCAUACUGAGAUGGCAGUGCACGCCUAAGCAC
RNAcentral lists this long non-coding RNA (599 nucleotides) under Malus domestica (apple). Its description in RNAcentral is "long non-coding RNA (MDOM_LNC015186)". The record is from RNAcentral. Lineage: Eukaryota; Viridiplantae; Streptophyta; Magnoliopsida; Rosales; Rosaceae.